GAUGAACGCUAGCUACAGGCUUAACACAUGCAAGUCGAGGGGCAGCACUAGGUAGCAAUACUGAGGUGGCGACCGGCGCACGGGUGCGUAACGCGUAUCCAACCUUCCCGUUACUCUUGGAUAGCCUUCCGAAAGGGAGAUUAAUACCGAAUAACAUAGAGUGAUUGCCUGAUUUCUCUAUGAAAGCUCCGGCGAUGAAGGAUGGGGAUGCGUUCCAUUAGGUAGUAGGCGGGGUAACGGCCCACCUAGCCGACGAUGGAUAGGGGUUCUGAGAGGAAGGUCCCCCACACUGGAACUGAGACACGGUCCAGACUCCUACGGGAGGCAGCAGUGAGGAAUAUUGGUCAAAUGGCCGGGAGGCUGAACCAGCCAUGCCGCGUGAAGGUCACGGCCCUAUGGGUCUUAAACUUCUUUUGUAAGGGAGCAAUAAGGUCCACGUGUGGACUGAUGAGAGUACCUUACGAAUAAGCAUCGGCUAACNCCGUGCCAGCAGCCGCGGU
Molecule: ribosomal RNA, 500 nt
Filed under: uncultured bacterium
Lineage: Bacteria
Description: bacterial SSU rRNA
Rfam family: Bacterial small subunit ribosomal RNA
Source: RNAcentral